GACGCUCUCCCCAAGGACACAAGCCAUGCAUGCCCGCGCACCCGGGAGGCGGCGGACGGCUCAGGACAACGGUUGCACCCCCCGCGGCGGUACCCUGCUAGCCGGACAUCCGCUGGCAAACCCGGCGCCAAGGAACGUGCGCGCAAUGGGCGGGCGCCCGCGGGCGAGCAGCGUGACGCAG
This 181-nucleotide ribosomal RNA is filed under the name Giardia duodenalis. Its description in RNAcentral is "Giardia intestinalis partial small subunit ribosomal RNA". The record is from RNAcentral. Lineage: Eukaryota; Fornicata; Diplomonadida; Hexamitidae.